This is a long non-coding RNA of Bombus pascuorum, 1366 nucleotides long. RefSeq lists it as uncharacterized. The record is from RefSeq and is a predicted model, not a curated record. Lineage: Eukaryota; Metazoa; Arthropoda; Insecta; Hymenoptera; Apidae. The transcript is spliced from 3 exons.
UCUUAUCGUUCUGAAAAAGCAGCCAAUGUUUUCCGUAUAGUUCGUAUAAGUACUGAAAUGAAUUGACCAAUCACUAAAAAUGAUUUAAAAAAAGAAAGAUAUCGAAAUAGAGUGCGUAUGCGCAGAUCAGUUAUUUUAGUUUCGCGCGUUCGGUUGAAAAUAUGACGCUAUUAUAUUCGAUAUUAUAAUUCAAUCGUGUAAUUCAAUUGCGUAAUUCAAUUCCGUGAAUAUUCGCAAUUGUCGAGUGUUUUUCGCGAAGACAUUAAUCAGUUUAAGCAUUUUUCGUCGAAUUUAAGUUUGAGAGAAGUGAUAUUUUAUAUAUUGUUAAGGCUAUGUAGUCAUCCGUUUUGCCAGAAUGAUUCAGUAGCGAGACAAGAGGAAGAAGGAGAGAUGGCUGGUCAUUGAUCGCGUGAUCAUGUUACCGAAAAUUGAAUGGCGAUGAAGCGUGACAGCAUUCGCGUGGGAAACAACUUUCGUUGGUCGUAAAAUCGCGAGAUGUUCUCAAUUAAAAAGUACGAUCCAUUGAGAUUUACCUGCGCCGAUGUAACAGGUUCCCAACAAUUGCCUCUUUGCUCGACCAUCAUCUGCAUCGGCUUGCCGGUCUCCAGGCUUUGAAAUUUUUGUUCUUGAGGCGGAGUUUCGUAGCAAUAGGCUGGCGGAUGAUACUCCACGGAACUGUCCUCGUGCAGCAUCGUUCCCGGAGAGGCGGUGUGAUUUAUCGCGUGCUGUGGCUCGUACCUAUCAAAAUUAUAUCGAUUAUAAUGCGAUUAUUCGAGCCACGUGAUUAACAUAUAACGAGUCGCAUUCGCAAGAAAAAUGCUGCUGUACAUUCUUCUCAUAUACGUUACUACUAUAGCUAUUUCGAUUAUUUAUCUCGUAUCGUUUAUUCUCCAGCUGUAUUGAUAUCGUGUAAAGUACACAUGCGUUGUAACGGACUAUCGAAAUCGUUUUUACGGUUUAGUCAUUUCAAUAGUCGUUGUGCUAACAACGCUAGUGUUACGAUUUCAAAACGAUUGGGAAUUAUCUUAAUGUCAUUUCACGCUCGAAGCAAGCAAAAGCAGAUCGUUGGCGAUGAUCUCGACACUUGUCUAACGUUCAUAAUUAUAUAUAAUCAUAAUUAUACACAUUGAUUAUAUCUUACAAAUUAAGUGCGAUAGAACAACCGUAUUAAACGUUUUGUCAUGCUGUUUGAUUACGAUAAAGUCGUUGCUGGACUAUCGACAGAAUAUAUCUCGAAACUAGGCAGCUACACGAGAGCUGGACGAAGAUGACGAGGAAAGUCACUUACUUACCAAACUUGUUCAAAUGAAAUUUCCUUCGAUAUCUGUCGAAAUAAAAAACAUUGUAGGAAACUUCAACUUUGACU